AUAAACGCUUGCGGUGUGCCUUAUGCAUGCAAGUCGAACGGUUCUGAUUUAUCAGGACAGUGGCGGACGGGUGAGUAACACGUAAGUAACCUGCCUUUAAGUAGGGGAUAACUCUGAGAAAUUAGAGCUAAUACCGUAUGUGGUGGUAGGGGUAGUGCUCUAUCACUAAAGCCUAAGGGCGCUUGGAGAGGGGCUUGCGUCCGAUUAGCUAGUUGGUAGGGUAACGGCUUACCAAGGCAAUGAUCGGUAACUGGUCUGAGAGGAUGAUCAGUCACACUGGAACUGAGACACGGUCCAGACUCCUACGGGAGGC
Molecule: ribosomal RNA, 313 nt
Filed under: uncultured bacterium
Lineage: Bacteria
Description: bacterial SSU rRNA
Rfam family: Bacterial small subunit ribosomal RNA
Source: RNAcentral